UACGUGCCAGCAGCCGCGGUAAUACGUAGGGCGCAAGCGUUAUCCGGAAUUAUUGGGCGUAAAGAGCUCGUAGGCGGUUUGUCGCGUCUGCUGUGAAAACCCGAGGCUCAACCUCGGGCCUGCAGUGGGUACGGGCAGACUAGAGUGCGGUAGGGGAGAUUGGAAUUCCUGGUGUAGCGGUGGAAUGCGCAGAUAUCAGGAGGAACACCGAUGGCGAAGGCAGAUCUCUGGGCCGUAACUGACGCUGAGGAGCGAAAGGGUGGGGAGCAAACAGGCUUAGAUACCCUGGUAGUCCACCCCGUAAACGUUGGGAACUAGUUGUGGGGUCCAUUCCACGGAUUCCGUGACGCAGCUAACGCAUUAAGUUCCCCGCCUGGGGAGUACGGCCGCAAGGCUAAAACUCAAAGGAAUUGACGGGGACCCGCACAAGCGGCGGAGCAUGCGGAUUAAUUCGAUGCAACGCGAAGAACCUUACCAAGGCUUGACAUAUACGAGAACGGGCCAGAAAUGGUCAACUCUUUGGACACUCGUAAACAGGUGGUGCAUGGUUGUCGUCAGCUCGUGUCGUGAGAUGUUGGGUUAAGUCCCGCAACGAGCGCAACCCUCGUUCUAUGUUGCCAGCACGUAAUGGUGGGAACUCAUGGGAUACUGCCGGGGUCAACUCGGAGGAAGGUGGGGAUGACGUCAAAUCAUCAUGCCCCUUAUGUCUUGGGCUUCACGCAUGCUACAAUGGCCGGUACAAAGGGCUGCAAUACCGCAAGGUGGAGCGAAUCCCAAAAAGCCGGUCCCAGUUCGGAUUGAGGUCUGCAACUCGACCUCAUGAAGUCGGAGUCGCUAGUAAUCGCAGAUCAGCAACGCUGCGGUGAAUACGUUCCCGGGUCUUGUACACACCGCCCGUCAAGUCAUGAAAGUCGGUAACACCUGAAGCCGGUUGCCCAACCCUUGUGGAGGGAGCCGUCGAAGGUGG
This 967-nucleotide ribosomal RNA is filed under the name Microbacterium sp. RNAcentral's name for it is "bacterial SSU rRNA". It matches the Rfam family "Bacterial small subunit ribosomal RNA", at positions 502 to 1465 of the family's 1533-position model. The record is from RNAcentral. Lineage: Bacteria; Bacillati; Actinomycetota; Actinomycetes; Micrococcales; Microbacteriaceae.